GGGGGUAUAGCUCAGCUGGGAGAGCAUCUGCCUUACAAGCAGAGGGUCACAGGUUCGAGCCCUGUUGUCCCCACCA
This 76-nucleotide transfer RNA is filed under the name Clostridiales bacterium. RNAcentral describes it as "tRNA-Val". It matches the Rfam family "tRNA". From Rfam's summary of the family: Transfer RNA (tRNA) molecules are approximately 80 nucleotides in length. Their secondary structure includes four short double-helical elements and three loops (D, anti-codon, and T loops). Further hydrogen bonds mediate the characteristic L-shaped molecular structure. tRNAs have two regions of fundamental functional importance: the anti-codon, which is responsible for specific mRNA codon recognition, and the 3' end, to which the tRNAs corresponding amino acid is attached (by aminoacyl-tRNA synthetases). tRNAs cope with the degeneracy of the genetic code in two manners: having more than one tRNA (with a specific anti-codon) for a particular amino acid; and 'wobble' base-pairing, i.e. permitting non-standard base-pairing at the 3rd anti-codon position. RNAcentral also lists the same sequence under 6 other names. The record is from RNAcentral. Lineage: Bacteria; Bacillati; Bacillota; Clostridia; Eubacteriales.